GACGAACGCUGGCGGCGUGCCUAAUACAUGCAAGUCGAGCGGACUUUCAAGAAGCUUGCUUUUUGAAAGUUAGCGGCGGACGGGUGAGUAACACGUGGGCAACCUGCCUGCAAGACGGGGAUAACUCCGGGAAACCGGGGCUAAUACCGGAUAAUAUCUUCCUUCGCAUGAAGGAAGGUUGAAAGGCGGCGCAAGCUGCCGCUUGCAGAUGGGCCCGCGGCGCAUUAGCUAGUUGGUGAGGUAACGGCUCACCAAGGCGACGAUGCGUAGCCGACCUGAGAGGGUGAUCGGCCACACUGGGACUGAGACACGGCCCAGACUCCUACGGGAGGCAGCAGUAGGGAAUCUUCCGCAAUGGAUGAAAGUCUGACGGAGCAACGCCGCGUGAGCGAAGAAGGUCUUCGGAUCGUAAAGCUCUGUUGUCAGGGAAGAACAAGUACCGUUCGAACAGGGCGGUACCUUGACGGUACCUGACCAGAAAGCCACGGCUAACUACGUG
RNAcentral lists this ribosomal RNA (499 nucleotides) under uncultured bacterium. RNAcentral's name for it is "partial 16S ribosomal RNA". It matches the Rfam family "Bacterial small subunit ribosomal RNA", at positions 28 to 507 of the family's 1533-position model. The record is from RNAcentral.